CCCCGCCUAUCAUACAUGCAUAUGCCAACAGGCAAAAUUCCCUAUAUAUACAAGAAAUAUGAAAAGGAAAAAUGACAUUUGCCCAUCAUACUCUGAAUGAGAUUGCAAUGGGUCCAGGUUAACUUUGACUGGGGUUUGAAGUAAUAAUCGCGGCAACAUAGUGAUAUGUGAAGGUGGAUAAGGCUAUGUCAAGUAAAGAAGUACAUGCACAAGGCUUUAUAUUUUAGAACACGCUCAAAAGGGAAGACAUGGAGAGCCUGACGAAGGCCGCGGAGAUCGAAGAUUUAAAAUCUGCCCGUAAAGGGUAUAUAUAGGGAGCACUGGAAAUACUACGGUCCGGCUGUAUUAACGACGGUUUCGUGGAGGAAAGGCAAGGUCCAUGUUCACCCUUCAUUCGGACGUGGCAAAUUGAGGAGUCCUCGGGGGUCUCGAUUUCACAAUCGUUGUUGCCAGAUUUGGUCACCUAAACGAGGAUUUUGCUUGAUGCAGUUAUCUUUG
Molecule: small RNA, 498 nt
Filed under: Histoplasma capsulatum
Lineage: Eukaryota; Fungi; Ascomycota; Eurotiomycetes; Onygenales; Ajellomycetaceae
Also listed under: 1 other name
Description: hypothetical RNA
Source: RNAcentral